CCUACGGGCGGCAGCAGUGGGGAAUAUUGGACAAUGGGGGGAACCCUGAUCCAGCCAUGCCGCGUGUGUGAAGAAGGCCCUCGGGUUGUAAAGCACUUUCAGUGAGGAAGAACGCCUGGUGGUUAAUACCCAUCAGGAAAGACAUCACUCACAGAAGAAGCACCGGCUAACUCCGUGCCAGCAGCCGCGGUAAUACGGAGGGUGCGAGCGUUAAUCGGAAUUACUGGGCGUAAAGCGCGCGUAGGUGGCUUGAUAAGCCGGUUGUGAAAGCCCCGGGCUCAACCUGGGAACGGCAUCCGGAACUGUCAAGCUAGAGUGCAGGAGAGGAAGGUAGAAUUCCCUGUGUAGCGGUGAAAUGCGUAGAGAUCGGGAGGAAUACCAGUGGCGAAGGCGGCCUUCUGGAAUGACACUGCCACUGAGGUGCGAAAGCGUGGGUAGCGAACAGGAUUAGAUACCCUAGUAGUC
RNAcentral lists this ribosomal RNA (465 nucleotides) under Vreelandella stevensii. RNAcentral's name for it is "partial 16S ribosomal RNA". It matches the Rfam family "Bacterial small subunit ribosomal RNA", at positions 338 to 795 of the family's 1533-position model. The record is from RNAcentral. Lineage: Bacteria; Pseudomonadati; Pseudomonadota; Gammaproteobacteria; Oceanospirillales; Halomonadaceae.